UGCUGGGAAGUGGAGGGCAGAACAGAAAGGAGAGUACAGAGCUGACAGUGUUGAUGGAGAGGAAGUUCCUCCUCAGGGGAGCCCAGGCCACUUCCGCCCUCCACUUGGAGCCGGGUGGUGGAUAACAGCUGGCCUCAGGCCUGGAGGCCGUGGGGCCUUCCUGCUCAGUCACACAGCACACUAAGGAAAUAACUUUAUUAGUUAGUGGGUGAAAAACAGGAAAUGUACGCUGUGACUCGGGCACCGGCCGGGCCUCACUCACAUCUUGUUUCUAGGAAACAGACAUGUGGCCUCAGACAAGGAUCUGGGUAGAAGAGCAAAUGUCCAAAGCAGGCUUCCCCAGCCAAGGACCAGCAAUCUGCACAUCCAUAGGCACGGCAGCUAACAGAUUGGUGUAUGAACGAUUGCAUCAUAAUACAGACAGGAAAACCUUUACCAACCACCUUUGGAGAAGGCCAGAAACUCCUCUUGACAAACCGAUGGGUCAAGACGAAGGCCCAUUCACUUGCUGUCUCGCUAUUUAAAGUAAACCUGGAGGAAAAGAACUCACUCACUCAUAGUUGUGGAAAGGAAGUUGUUGUUUUCUUUAAAAAAAAAAAAGGAACUGUAAUUAAUAAAUAAAGAAUAGUAGAAUCGGAA
This is a non-coding RNA of Rattus norvegicus (Norway rat), 639 nucleotides long. NCBI's taxonomy places the organism in Eukaryota, Metazoa, Chordata, Mammalia, Rodentia, Muridae. The record is from RefSeq and is a predicted model, not a curated record.